This 1160-nucleotide long non-coding RNA is filed under the name Aquilegia coerulea. Its description in RNAcentral is "long non-coding RNA (ACOE_LNC001383)". The record is from RNAcentral. Lineage: Eukaryota; Viridiplantae; Streptophyta; Magnoliopsida; Ranunculales; Ranunculaceae.
UGAGGUUGAUUUUCAUUGUCCAAGCACCUCAAAUUUUCAUAAGUAAAAUGGCUGCAUUGAGUUGUACUUCCAUGCCACUUAAUUAGUGUGUUUGGUAAUCCGCCUUCAUCAAGAUCAGCCAUGAAUCCAAGGUAACCUGCCUUCAAGAUCAGCUAUAAAUUCACGCUUGAAAAAUGUGGCGACCAAGUGUUCAGAUGCAACGAAUGCAUCUUCAGAUGCUCCUCUGGAGGUCAUACGGCAUUUUCAUCCUAGUGUGUGGGAGGGUCAUGACUUCGCCUUAGCUCCUAUGAGUGGUGAUUUGGUAAGUUUAAUCUUGUGAAUUGUGAUCAUAUCAAGAAAUGCCACAAAUAAAUUUGUUGUUGAACAACUGAUACACAAAUUUAUAGCAAUCUUAAGACAUAAUCUUGUUUUAAUUUUCGAAUACUUAUCAAUCCAUCAUAUAUAUAUAUAUAUGAAGUGUUGUGAUAAUUUAUCUUAAUCGAAUUGAAUGAAGAUUGACUAGAGGAGGCUCAAAGAAUUGUAAAAGGAAGUGAAAAAACAUGUUAUUUUUAGCUGCUGCUGAUUCAUUUCAAGAAUUAAAUUAAAUCUGAUCGAUAAAAUUCAACGGCUUGGGGUUGCAUACCACUUUAACGAUGAGAUUCUACAGCGGACUCACAAUGAUGAUCUAUAUGAAAAUAUUGACAAGAAUGAACAUGCGGAUAUGUGUUAUGUUUCUCUACCGUUUCGACUGUUGAGUGUUGAGGCAGGCUGGGGACGUACUAUGUCUUAAGUCUCAACUGGUAAUAAAAAUAUGGUUAAUUUCUUCACCUAAUUAUUUUAUGCACAUAUUGUAUAUUUAAUUGUUUUGAUUCUAAACUUAAGAUUUAUUCUAAACAGAUGUCUUUAAAAAGUUCAAAGAUGAGAAAGGUGAAUUCCAUGCAAACUAAUUGGCAUCUGAUGUACAAGCAUUGUUAACCCUAUAUAUGAAGCUCUACCCUUUGCAUUACAAGUACAACAUGCCCUAACGAUGCCUCUUCCAAGGAAACCUGAAAGGGUAUAUGCAAUAUUGAUGUAAGAGACAGAGUGGUGGAAGCUUACACUAAUUGUAUACUAUGUGAACUAGUCUUUAGGCCCGUGUGAUACACGGGCAGAUCUGAUUGUUUUAGAGUUUUGUUUUUGGG